CACAAAUACAGCACUGUCUCCUCCCUACCUAGGUCUUGGAUCACGAAGCAUGGCAGCAUUUAUGUUCCAGGAUAGUACUUGAAGAACACGCUUCACAGGGACACAGCCUGAAGCACACACUUACUGCAUCUUUCUGCUGUGGCCGAAGCCAGAUGGUACAGCCCAGUACUUUCCUCCAUACAAAAUGUAUGCCAAGAAGACAGACAUCUUCCUUGAGGUUUAU
Molecule: long non-coding RNA, 223 nt
Filed under: Gallus gallus (chicken)
Lineage: Eukaryota; Metazoa; Chordata; Aves; Galliformes; Phasianidae
Source: RNAcentral